GCAGCCAGAACACACUUGAAUCAGACACCGAUGGCAUACUGUGUUUGUCUUGACGUAUUUGCUCCUGGGGCAGACCAGGCAUUGUUUCCUUUUUUUCCUAAGACUGACCAGAAGACGUACGCGGUCUUCAUCUUCGUGGUCUUCGCGGUGGUCUUUGUGGUGUACCGCAUGCUCCGGCGGAGGCGUCCUGGCAGCAGCAGCAGCAGCAAACUUGUUGUGGCGCCCUGGGGACAGUAGAUGGUCUCGUCGCGCCUGACACGGGCUCAAUCAGGGCUCUGCCCAGCUGUUUCAGGAACAACCUUCGCUUGUUGAGUUUUCCACUCAUCCAUUCGGGGUGAAGUUUGCGCCAAACGACAAAUGCGUUGUAGGCCGAGACGUCCACUAUGUUGUGGAAUAAGGCCAUGGGCCAAUGAUGCGUUUUUCUUCUACAGCUGUAGGUGGCCGCGACCUUGUCAAGGUUGUCCGCCCCUACGUUGAUACGAUUGUACUUGAGAAUGGCAACGGGUUUCCCUCCUCCUCCUCCUCCUCCUCCUCCUCCUCCUCCUCCUCCUCCUUCUCCUAAUUGUCCUCCUGAAGCCCAGGUGGAUCAGCGGCAGUGGCAGUGUAGUGGUAAAGUUCCAAUAAUCAAUGAUCAAUAAUAAAUAAACUAUAAUCAGUAAUCAAUAAUCACAUUAAUAGUAAUGGAUAGCCUUUGAGCACUAAGCACACGAACACCUGUGUACACAGACGUCCAGGUCACUGUGACCUGUGCCAGCUUGGCAUGUGUUGUUUUGCUUACAUAAGUGCUUAACAGGUGUUGUGGUCAUUAUGGUGCCUAGCAGUGCCUCAAUCGGUAUACACAAGUUUCUGUUUUUCUCAUUAAAAUGGUAUGAUGUAAGACUGUGACCGAGAGAUGCCCUGCUAGAAGUCUGAUGCACCGUGAUGAUGUGCUCCUGGGUCAAUGUGACCUGGGUCAGUGUGACCCAAUGUACCUAAGAAAGGAUGAUGUACUGUAAAAAGAUGAAUAAAGUGGUUUGAUGAGGAUGGGAGUGGAACCAGAAGGAGGGGGGCAACCUCUACCUGGCUCCACUAGAAUCGAAACUAGUGAUAUAAUGGUGUCAAAUGUAGGAGGCCUGUCAUAAAAGAAGGAUGGGCCUGGGGCGUGGAAAACCACCAGGACUAAACAGUAUAAAAGCCAGUGCAUCAGGUGGGGUCUUCAGACACGCCCCGGGGCAUCUCUCAGUGUGUUUGGCCUGUACUUUGAGGAAUAAACACAUCUUCUUUGAAUCUGAAGACUGACUCCUAGACUCUUCACUGCCUGCAUUGGUGAGACUUAGGCAGCUAUUAUUUUUGAAUCUGCAAACUCUUUAGAAAAUCAGAACUUAGAGCUAGAACUGAAGAAACCCCAAGUUGUGAAGACAUUUUGACACAACAGCAGCAGCGGCGGUGGUGGCGGCGGCGACGAUGACGCUCUGAUCCAUGGUGAGAAUGAGGACGUUUUUGUUCUUCUUGGCCACGUACGAGAUCAGUCCGAGCCAAGGGCCUCCUCCUCCCGGCUCCGUGGCAGUCACAGCCAUCAAGGAGGACACCGCCCUGCCCUUGCAAUCGAGCAUUUCCAGCGAGAUUUCGGGUCUGUUGCAUUGAAGGGUGCCAAGGAUGGCGAGUCCUCGUUCCCUGAAGAGGUGGACCGCUAGCUGGCGCGAGGUGAAAAAGUUGUUGCACGUCACGGUCCUACCCAAACCCAGCCCCCUCGUCAGGUCCAUGAUGACGCGACAAGCCAGGUUCUUCUCCAGUGGACCUCAUUUGUCGGAUUUUCCAAGGUACAUUUGCAUCUGCCACGCGUAGCUGGACCUUGUGUCACAGGCGACCCAUAUCUUGAGCCUGUACCUGGCUGGUUUGUUGGGCAUGUACUGCCUGAAUGGACAUUGGCCUGUGUUGUUGUUGUUGUUUGGUGAGCAAAGAAAGAGGGGAGGAGAUAAAAGAAAAGAAAAAGGGAGUGAUUAUUGUUAUUAUUAUUGUUAUUAUUAUCAUCGUUGUUAAUAAUAAUAAUUUCAUUAUGAGUUACCAAAGAUGCAACUGUAACACACACACACACAUACACACACACACAAAAAAAAAACCUUACCUCUGAACGGGACCUACCCUCUUGUCUACGGUGACAUUGGGGCCUAGGACGUACAUUUCCGGCCACCUGGUUCACCACAGGUCCUACACGUGUCUCGCGGCAGCCAACUCGUCCGAACCGAGGCAUCGCCUUGACUCUGGUCCUUCGGUUGUCAAACCGUAGCGCGCUAGAAUACGCUCUGAACGUCUUUAGCGACAUGCCGGACCGCAAUAGCGGUCGUCCGGUAUCGGGAUCCCAGAGACUCUUGCAGGCUUCGCCUCUGGACCUGUAGAUGCCGGAGAGAAUGAGCAAGCCCAGGUACGCUCGAAACCACGUCCUGUCCAUCCUUCUCCAUCCGUCCGAAGCUCGCACUCUACCCUCCACCUCGAGAUUGGUCAUUUUGAUCACCGUGUCCUGGAUGUCUGGGUGAAUGAAUGCCAGGAACGUGGAGACUAUGUCUUUGGCCACGUCUUUGGCAAAGGCCGUGGGUCCCGGAGCUGGGUGGAGGUGAAGAUCGUCGUCAUCGCCAUCUUCGUCGUCAUCGUCAUUUGCCCCCGGGCGACCUGGGCACUGGGCUUCACUGUCACCGUCGCCGGGUGUUCUCCUUGGGCUCAGUUGUGCUCCUCAUCGGGCUCGUCCCCUCUUGUCCUGGGGAUCGAGCUGCUAGAGUGGUGUCCAUCGCACGUCGGUGGGUCCUUCAUCUGACUCUGAAGGGCCAGAGGAGGCCGUUUCAGUUCUAGGACUCUGAGGUGGUUCUUGUUCUUGUUCUUGUUGGUGGUGCUGUUACUGUUGUGCAGUAGCAGAAGCAGUAGUGGUUUGGGUUGGUUUUUGUUUAGCCCGUCGGUCGAGCUUUCUUCCUCCCGACUGACCAGGUCUUGCUUUUAUUUGGGUUUUUUUGAUGGUUUGGUUUGGUUUUUGUUUAGCCUGACUGACGGGCUUUCUUCCUCCCAAAUACCGGGUCUUGCUUUUGUUUUUUGGUUGGUGGUUUGGUUUGGUUUUCAUUUAGCCUGACCGACGGGCUUUCUUCCUCCCGACUGACCGGAUCUUGCUUUUGUUUUUGUAUUUUUUGUUGGUGGUUUGGUUUGGUUUUCAUUUAGCCCUACAGACGGGCUUUCUUCCUCCCGACCGACUGGGUCUUGCUUUUGUUUUUGUUUUUUUGGUGGUUUGGUUUGGUUUUCAUUUAGCCAGACCGAUGGGCUUUCUUCCUCCCGACUGAUCGGGUCUUGCUUUUUUUUCUCGGUGGUUUGGUUUUCGUUUAGCCCGACCGACCAGGCACACACACACACACACACACACUCAAAAAAGACAAAAGGCAAUAAUCAUAGACGUACUCUGGUGUGGUGGUCACAUACAGUUGUUGUUUUAUUUUGUUUUAGUUGCUCAUGUAGCCCAUAUUUAAUUAUGGCUGUAAUAAAUGUGAUCUGAAGCCCACAAACGUGAUAAGAUUAGUUUUAGCUGUUGUACUUUGUUAUAAUAAAUAAAUGGUACUGUCAGCGAUUAAAGGGUUAACUCCUCUGGGAUGAUUGACAGAUUGCUCUUAGCCAAUGAGCUGCUACAAAGUGGCGCAUUGACCCGCCUACUCCUUCCGUCUCCGGUAGUGAAGCUCUUUCUGCCUGUGAUGUGAGCGCUACACAAGCUAGCAAAACCGUGACGGAGAACUACAGAAACGGGUACAAAACCGGUACGGACUGAAGAGUUGACGGUAAUUUAUUCAUGUUUAAUGUAAUUUUAUGCAUUUAUACAUCGAAGACGAUUCAUAUAGUUCAAGAUUUAAUUGGUUUUGGUCCGUUUCGUACUUGUGGUAUGUAGACGGUCAAGGCUUUGAAGCGGCGCCAUUACGUGCUCCUACGUUGUCCUCGUGAGAUCGGUGAGAAAAUCAGUUUUCAGUUUUUAGAUUUAGUAUGCACUGGUUAUGUUCUCAUCUUAAAAAAUGUUCAUUAAGUGGUCUCUUAAAAUUAUUCACGAUGUGUUUAUUGGAGUAAUAUUUUAUUCUGCUGUUAUGAUGUGUGAAUGUGAUUUCAUGUAAAGAUUUACAGUGAGUGAAAAGAAUGCAUUAGACAACAAUGCUAAUAUUACGUUUUUCACUGUUGUAAUUCGAAUUGUAAACAUGGUUAAUGUUACAAUUGACGUGUUCACAUGUAGAUAUAUUGUGAAAUAUGAUAAUUUGUAGACUUAUAGUGUUUUAUGACACUGUUGUUGGCAGGUCAGUUUUUUUAUUAUGUACAGUGGACCUGUUGUUGAUGGCGAGCCAAACCUCUGGAAGAACUGCUUGAUUCAUCCCUCUGCUGCAUGGUGCAGUGUGGUAGGCCAACUGCAAUAAAACCCAUCCACACCAUUUCACACUUGCUGCCUUUUUCCCAAAAACCACACACACACACACACACUCCCUUGGAACUUUUGGUCGGUUACUUACCUGGACUCAUAUGGACUUGACACAUCUUCACAUGCAGGAAGUGGACUUGGAGUGGAAUUGUGGGAACCACUCCUUCAAAUGAGGGUUUUGUUGUAGGACACUGAUCUAUUGUGAGUCAUGCAAUUUCUGUUUGAUUUUGCUUUUGAAACUGUGAAUUACACUGAACUUUAACUUGGAAUAUGUGAUUAGAAGGGUGCACCCAGGUAAGAUUUGAUGUGACACUGUGAUUGUGGAAACAGACGGUCCUUACUGAGAAACUGUUGGUACCAAAAAGAUAUACUGUUUUUUUCCUCUUUCAGAAAUUAAUUUAUUUAUUUUUCUAUAUGAUUUUUUCUAAAAAAAAAGAAAUACAAGCUGGCAUUUGUAUUAUUUUGAGCCUUUGUCUGAGUCUCAUUCAUUUCACUCUUCCUGUGAGUAGUCGAACCAUCUGGCCCAAUCAUUUACAACCAUUCACAUUCAACUUUGGUAAAGGUAAGUUGUAAGUUGACACCUCUUUAAAAAGAGGGUUACACUCACAUUGGCUGAAAACAUGUCAAACACAACUUGUCACCGUAAACAGUGACUCCACCUGAACACCCACCGCCCCGCCCCCAGGGUCCUUUUUUCUGUUCUUGUUGUUGUUCUUUUUCUUCAUCUUCUUCUUCCUUUUCAUUUCCUCCUCCUCCUUCUUCUUGGACCAAGUCGCUCUCGUCUCCGCUCUCCUCGUUGCUGUCAAACGGGUCAAAUCGGCUCUCAGUCAUCGUCGUGAGCAUGUACCAUAUGUGAUUUUGCAUAGCUUUGCCUGUGUUGGUCAUGUCCACGACAUCCUGAUCCAGAGCGCGCCUGUUUCCCUCCGGGCAGCACUCCUGGGCUUUGACCUUGACUUUGAGCUCGAGGUCGCCUGCGAUCUCCCCCAAGAAACACAGGUCCAGCUGCUCUUCGGUCAGGUCCAUGAGCAGUGACUGUUCGAAAGGCUUUGGACGGGGUUCCCCUGCGGCCAUGCCUAGAGUGCUCCUGGCUUGGGCGCACAGGUCAGCUUCACCAAAUUUUUGGAAUACUGAGGGUGCAGCGAGGGAGAGUCGAAGAUCUUGUACGCAACGGCCUUGGCUCGAAGGUAGUCUCCUUCCACUGCAAUCAAAACCAUUAGCUUGUCCCAGCUCAACACCAUUACCUUGUGGACGAUCGACAACCGAGCCCUCCAGUAGCAUGUCCAGGCCACUUUGUGGAACAUCGGCAGCUCCGCAGCAGCAUCGGGGAUUGGUAUGUGUUUCUGUUUUUGCUGUUGCUCUUGUUGCUGUUGCUGGUUCUCCUCAUCGCUGUUGGUAUUGCUGUCAUUGUAGCCGCUUUCGUAGCUAUUGUCAUCAUCAUCAUCAUCAUCAUCGUUGUUGCUCUAAUUGUCGUCGCUAUUGUCGUCGUCACUAUUGUCGUCACAGCAUGUAGCAUGCUCUUUAAAUGUAUUCCUCCCAAUGCUGUUCUGUCCAUCUACUGAACAGAUUGCUAAUUUGUAAUCCUGUUUGCUUUUCAAAACUAGAAUUGCACCCCAAUUAGUACUUCUGUACAUAGUUAAUAUGUCACAAUAAAAACAAAUGCAUAAAAGAAAACACAAAAUCAUGGAUAUAACAUCAACAGAGAUAAAUAUUCUCCUCAUGACAAAAUUUCACAAUUUGGUUCACACCAUCACCCAGAGGCAACAGUAUGACAUUAGAUUUGAUAGAUAUGAAUUCCAAAGUACAAGGGAUAUUACAUAACUUUGUGAUGGAUAUGUAAAAAUAAAAAAUGCAGUUAAAGAAAUAAAUGUUUUAAUCAUUAAGACAAUAUACAAUUUACAGAAAAGUGUUUUUGUUAAAAGUUCAUGCUGUAAAUAUGGGAUCAAAUCCCAGACUUUCUCAAGCAUACCUUGUUGAUUCUACCAUUCUUUGAACAAAGAUGGUGAAUGCUAUUUUUAUUUCUUUGAAUAGGCAACGGAUGAUGAGUUAGUGCUUACCAAUUGGGUUGGAAGUUGGCACUGUGAUGGUGAAAGACGGAGAAGAUAUCAUUGAUAUGUCAUGUGUCCUUUAGGCAGUAAUCCUCUGUGAUCUCAAAGGACUCCCCAAGCACCAUUCCCAUGCUGAAGGGUCUUCUGUUUGCUAUCAACAUAGACUAUCGAUAGAAACUUCGGUACAUCUUGGAAGUCAUUUAGAUGCUCCUUAUGAACAUUGAUGGUGGACAGUGUUCACAAUCUUUAUGAAUUUUAUGUUUUGCUGGAUUGUUCAAAAUCACUUUUGGACAAGACUGUCGACUGCAGCUAAUUUUCAGCUGGGCCUCCCAAGCACCAUUGCUUCAGUAAUAGCCUUGCUUUUUGCCCUCAAGAAAGACUACCAUAGAAACUUAUCUACACCUUUGAAGUUAUGGAAAAGUUCUAAAGAACAUUGGUGGAGCAUGUGUUUGUCACUUGUAUAUGAUUAAUGUAACUGAUUCCUUUAGACAAGAGUGUAAUGGUGAACUCUGAAUGGCUAAUCUCAUGCAAGUACAUCAGUCAGUAAAGUGGACAUUUGAUCUUUUGGUUUUUUGCAUGUCAUGAGACUAUAGCAGAUGUUUUCAGAUAUCCACAUUCUUUCAAAGUAACAACUGAAAUCAUUUCAGAAGCAUGUGUAGCAGGAUGAAUGCUGUACUCUCCUUGGGUUGGCUGUGUUAUGUUCCUGUGACAUAAUGACCGUGCCUUGUUUUGACCAAUCAUGGCAGGAGGAUGCACUAUAAAGCUGGGCUAGGGUUGCUCACUGUUUGCUUGCUGCAACGUCAGGGGCACGCCCCGCUUCCCGUUUGCCUCACUUCCUGUUUACCUCACUUCCUGUUUACCGUUGCUAACAGGGUCACUGUUGGGUGCCCAUAGCCAGAAAGCUGAGCCGCUCGCUGGCUGCUGUACGUCCAUUCGAGCCGUGAGCCGCUCGCGAGCCGUUACUGAAGCUGUGGGCCUCCGGUGGUGGGAACUGGUGUCUUCAGGUGGUGGGAACCCCUUCCUGUGUGGCGUGCUGCUCAUCCCUUGGUUGUGUUUUUUUUAUUUCUUCACUCAGUUGUGUGUGUGUGUGUGUGUGUGUGUGUGUGUGUGUGUGUGUGUGUGUGUGUGUGUGUGUGUGUGUGUGUGUGUGUGUGUGUGUGUGUGUGUGUGUGUGUGUGUGUGUGUGUGCGUGCGUGCAUGUUCACGUGUGAGUGGGGUGAUUUCUCCUGGGCUCCCUUGUGUUGUCCGUUGGCCCAAACCUCCACCAGAGCCCCCAGCUCUGAUUAGUCCCCAAACCCGUCAUUUAACAAUCUCGUGUGAAUGGUUGUUUUUUUUUUUUUCUUUUAUUGGUUUUAAACUGAGUAUUUUUAGUAUUAAAUAAAAUUUGUAUACUUUUGCCUGCACUGGAA
Long non-coding RNA from Amphiprion ocellaris (clown anemonefish), 7859 nucleotides. RefSeq lists it as uncharacterized. The transcript has 3 exons. The record is from RefSeq and is a predicted model, not a curated record. NCBI's taxonomy places the organism in Eukaryota, Metazoa, Chordata, Actinopteri, Pomacentridae.